Long non-coding RNA from Engraulis encrasicolus (European anchovy), 857 nucleotides. RefSeq lists it as uncharacterized. The record is from RefSeq and is a predicted model, not a curated record. The transcript has 2 exons. NCBI's taxonomy places the organism in Eukaryota, Metazoa, Chordata, Actinopteri, Clupeiformes, Engraulidae.
AUAAAUAGUAAAAUGGGAUAAUAAAUAGUGAUAAUACUGAUAAGGCAAUUCAUGAAUGAAGGUUUGGUAUCGUUAAAAACACGAUUAACAUAGCAGGACUUUUACUGUGACAGUUACGUUAUGGGACUUUUAUUUUGACAUGCGUUUCCACGCAUUCAGCUUUCCGCGGAGCCGUUCCAGUCAGUUGAGCUGAGAAGAGCUCGAAAGCUGAAGGAAAGACUUCGUUUCUUCGGCUCCACCUUGGAGCUAGAUAUUGAUAGAAAAUUAAUUCUAAGUUAAAGAUACCUACUUCUAAGUUUCAUUUUGGACCACCGAGCGACCUGCUCUGUAAAUCUUUUGUGUUUUGAAGAGCAAGAAGCUGCGCUUCGUCGUGUAUUGUUUCUGUUGAAUCGUCUCGGUGAAGUUUUUUGGACCUGGAUUCCGCUGUGGAUUGAUGACUGCGUUUGAUGGCGAGCCACCCACCCCAUUGAGUCGGAUCCUGUCCUGUGUCAUUGUACGUGGCGCAUAUGUGGUAGGGUUGUGACCUGCCUGUGUCACAACAACACUGACUGACUGACUUGAGUUGUUACUUUAACGGUUUACAAACUGAACUAAGGCCUUGAACUGAACGGAACUACUAUAAAGGAACUACUUUUUCUUUUCUUUUUCUUGAACAACUGAAAGGAACUCUUUUCUCUUUGAGGAUUUAAAGGACUGAUUUAAAGGACUGUUCCCAACUUUUGGAAAAUAGACAAUUACUCACUUUUGAAGGACAAUUCAUUUUAUUUUAUUUUAAAGGGUCAAUUUUUUUCUUUUAUUUUGGGAAUAUGUACAUAUUUUCUACCUUGCAAUUCAUAACUAAAGAAAGAAAAAAAGUA